This 31-nucleotide non-coding RNA is filed under the name Mus musculus (house mouse). Lineage: Eukaryota; Metazoa; Chordata; Mammalia; Rodentia; Muridae. The record is from RNAcentral.
UCCACACGUACACCAUGGCAAGUGCCUCUCC